RNAcentral lists this ribosomal RNA (292 nucleotides) under uncultured bacterium. RNAcentral describes it as "partial 16S ribosomal RNA". It matches the Rfam family "Bacterial small subunit ribosomal RNA", at positions 505 to 796 of the family's 1533-position model. The record is from RNAcentral.
GUGCCAGCAGCCGCGGUAAUACGUAGGCAGCGAGCGUUGUUCGGAAUUACUGGGCGUAAAGAGUGUGUAGGCGGUGCUAUAAGUUCGGUGUGAAAUCUCCCGGCUCAACUGGGAGGGUGCGCCGAAAACUGUAGUGCUCGAACGUGGGAGAGGAAAGCGGAAUUCCUGGUGUAGCGGUGAAAUGCGUAGAUAUCAGGAGGAACACCUGCGGUGUAGACGGCUUUCUGGACUAUUGUUGACGCUGAGUCACGAAAGCGUGGGUAGCAAACAGGAUUAGAUACCCUGGUAGUCC